CCCCAGUUCUGCAACCCUCCCACCCGAGCAAAGUGCGAUCUGAUGGGCAUUCUGAACUGUGCUUAAUCGAUGAGCAAUCACCAAUGUAGUUCUGCCCUUCAUCAAAUGAUUAAGAGCAUCCUGGACCAGGCGUUCACUGACUGCAUCCAAAGCACUGGUGGCCUCAUCAAGAAUAAGGAUUGGAGCAUUUUUGAGCAAGGCUCUCGCAAUAGCAACUCUCUGGAGAAUGAAGGUCAGAAAAUAAAAUUCAAUCCUUUAUCUUUCAAAUAC
Molecule: unclassified non-coding RNA, 270 nt
Filed under: Hevea brasiliensis (rubber tree)
Lineage: Eukaryota; Viridiplantae; Streptophyta; Magnoliopsida; Malpighiales; Euphorbiaceae
Source: RNAcentral